Molecule: small nuclear RNA, 133 nt
Filed under: Rhodnius prolixus
Lineage: Eukaryota; Metazoa; Arthropoda; Insecta; Hemiptera; Reduviidae
Description: U4 spliceosomal RNA
Rfam family: U4 spliceosomal RNA
About the family: U4 small nuclear RNA (U4 snRNA) is a component of the major U2-dependent spliceosome. The structure of U4 snRNA from yeast and human has been reported. U4 snRNA presents a k-turn RNA motif in the 5p-SL related to recognition of Snu13 protein.
Source: Rfam by way of RNAcentral
AAUCUUGCGCAGUGGCAAUAUCGUAACCAAUGAAGGUCUCCUGAGGUGCGAUUAUUGCUAGUUGAAACAUUUAGGAUACUAUAAUUUCUUUUUAAAGGUUUGUGCUUCGAAAGGAUGCCACAUUGCAAGCAGG